Molecule: long non-coding RNA, 976 nt
Organism: Andrographis paniculata
Lineage: Eukaryota; Viridiplantae; Streptophyta; Magnoliopsida; Lamiales; Acanthaceae
Exons: 3
Source: RefSeq, a predicted model, not a curated record
UUUUUUUUUUUUUUUUUUUUUUUUUCCCUCCCAUCCCUUUAUUUAAACCAAACAUGCCACAAACAUCCCUUGGAAUAAAAUUGGAAUCCAAAUUGACUUUUCUGGAACAAUGUUAAAAAAAUUAAGAAAUUGAUAUAUAUAUAUAUAUAUAUUAAAAAAUGAAUAAAUGUAAUUCGACUUCAUUUUAGAAGGCUUCGGCGGACCUUUUGAAGAAAAAAGUGAUCCGCAAAAGCGGUGUUUUCGAGCGCGGAAUCUGACAACCACUUCGUGCCCGUCGACUUCGAGGAAAGAAUCCCUACUAUCGAGGAACGAAUUGCUUGCAUUGAAGGGUCUAUCUGAUCUGUGUUCAGCGGUUCUGCAAUUGGAAUUGGGAAGUGGUUUGCAUUCCUGGUGUGGUUAGGGUUAUUGAUUUUGUGGGUAAAAGUUAGUUAGGGAGGGACAUUCAGAACUAGUACGAAUUCGCAUGAAAACAAGGGAAGGGAAGAAAUGAAAAAAUAAAAUAAAAUAAAAAUAAAAAAUCGAGUGGGAGAGAAUGGUUGGUUGGUUAUUCAGAGUCAAGAGGACAGGUCGUUUGAGGGAAAUUUGAGUGUUGUGUGACAAUUCUCUCUUUAAAAGUGGGCCGUGGCCCAAGUUUGAGGGCUUUUUUUGAUAGGUUAGUUUGGCCCACUCACCAACCACUUUUUUAGCCUAAGCCCAAAUUUAUAUAACCAAAGCCUAAUCCAAUUACUUAAGGGUUUUGUUAUAUAGAUAAAUUUGAGGUUGAGCAGAACCGAUUGGACGAUAGCAGAGAGUGUGAGAAGAGAAGAGAAGAGAAGAGAAGAGAAGAGAGGGAGUGAACCGGGUGCUCCAGCCGACCUCCGACCUGCUUGCGCCGAAUUAUUAUCUAUUUUUUUAAAUAUAUUUUUAAGACCCUAGUACCAUUAUUAGGCCAUUGAACUAUAUAUUAAUCAAAUUUAUAAACUCUAUAUUAUUAUUA